This 229-nucleotide ribosomal RNA is filed under the name uncultured fungus. RNAcentral's name for it is "partial 18S ribosomal RNA". It matches the Rfam family "Eukaryotic small subunit ribosomal RNA", at positions 40 to 269 of the family's 1831-position model. The record is from RNAcentral. Lineage: Eukaryota; Fungi.
AAGAUUAAGCCAUGCAUGUCUAAGUAUAAGCUUUUAUACAGUGAAACUGCGAAUGGCUCAGUAAAUCAGUUAUGAUCUACUUGACAAAUCUACUACUGGAUAUCCGUGGUAAUUCUAGAGCUAAUACAGUGCACUAAUCCCUGAUGUUUUGAUGGGAGCACUAGUUAGAUUCAUAAGCCAAAACCGCCAGGGCAACCUGGUAUUGCUUAGUCAUAACUAUUAAGCUGAU